CCUGAUUAAUAUAGGAGGUCCAGCCUGCCCAGUGACUCUGUUUAACGGCCGCGGUAUUCUAACCGUGCGAAGGUAGCGUAAUCACUUGUUCUUUAAAUGAGGACUAGUAUGAAUGGCAUCACGAGGGUUAUACUGUCUCCUUUUCCAAAUCAGUGAAACUAAUCUCCCCGUGAAGAAGCGGGGAUAAAAAUAUAAGACGAGAAGACCCUAUGGAGCUUAAAACUUUCAACAAUUAUAUUUUAUUUAUAAACCUAAAGGUAAUCAAACUAAUCCUUAUAAUAUGUUUGUUAGUUUUCGGUUGGGGUGACCGCGGAGUAAAACCUAACCUCCAUAUUGAAUUAAAUUAUUUAUUAGCAAAAAACUACAAUUUUAUGCAUCAAAAAAUUGACAUUAUUGACCCAAUAUUUUGAUCAACGAAC
RNAcentral lists this ribosomal RNA (419 nucleotides) under Callimedusa tomopterna group sp. ABGD cluster 29. RNAcentral describes it as "partial large subunit ribosomal RNA". It matches the Rfam family "Bacterial large subunit ribosomal RNA", at positions 1835 to 2439 of the family's 2925-position model. Lineage: Eukaryota; Metazoa; Chordata; Amphibia; Anura; Hylidae. The record is from RNAcentral.